Molecule: long non-coding RNA, 796 nt
Organism: Nothobranchius furzeri (turquoise killifish)
Lineage: Eukaryota; Metazoa; Chordata; Actinopteri; Cyprinodontiformes; Nothobranchiidae
Source: RefSeq, a predicted model, not a curated record
GUGGCAUUCCUGCCCAUUAUUCAGCCCGUUUGGCCGCAGGCAGAGGUGCACUUCCGGAGGCCUUUUAACCUGACAAACGGGUCACAGGAAUCCUUGUUUCGCAGAUCCUGGAAAUCAUCUCCAAAGAUCGACGCGAGAGCUUCUAGUUCAUUUUCCUGCUGCACUGUGUAGUCGUCUGUCCCAUCCGAAGGUGUAUGCUGACUGCUCAUUCUUCUGUCUCAACUACAUGGCAGUGUCCCCUGUCCCGUCUCAUUUCCGUCCAAAAGAAAGAGGAAUAAGUUCGGUACACCGCUUUGCUGCGGUCUGACGCAACCUCAGAACUUUAACUGUGGAUAAAAUAAAAACGUGUUGGUUUAAAGCAGCGUCUCGUUGUGUUUUUUAGUUUUAUAACACUGUCGAAUGGCGAGCAACAACAACGUUGCAGUUUGCGCAUGUCUGUUAGGAGCAGCCUGCCUGCGUCGCAGGUCAACGUCAUCACGCUGCUGCCCCAAUAACGGCGCUAGGAGGCAGCAGUAACCACGCCGUGGUGAUGUUUGUGGCGUUUGUAAUCAGCCCAACAGCACCUAAUAAACACGCACACAGGGCGAGAGAGCCUUUCAUAUAGUCAUAGAAAUUCUUUUUAAAAAGGUACACCCUCUUGUUUUAAACUGGAAAGGCAUCCGUGUAUUUUUGUUUCAUAAUAAAUGCAUUAACUAAUAAAAAACAUGAAAUAAAAACCAAAUAUAACUAGCAACAGAAUAGAAAUGCAAAUAUUUUGUAGAUGUUUGUUCUUUGUCUAAAUAAACGUUUAAUUCAA